UACAGAGGUCCCAAGCGUUGUUCGGAUGCACUGGGCGGAAAGGGUGCGUAGGCGGUCGGGGAAGGCUGAUGUGAAAUCUCACAGCUUAACUGUGAAACUGCAUUGGAUACUAUCCGGCUCGAGGAAUGGAGGGGAGACUGGAAUACUUGGUGUAGCAGUGAAAUGCGUAGAUAUCAAGUGGACCACCAGUGGCGAAGGCGAGUCUCUGGACAUUUCCUGACGCUGAGGCACGAAAGCCAGGGGAGCAAACGGG
RNAcentral lists this ribosomal RNA (253 nucleotides) under uncultured bacterium. RNAcentral describes it as "partial 16S ribosomal RNA". It matches the Rfam family "Bacterial small subunit ribosomal RNA", at positions 524 to 776 of the family's 1533-position model. The record is from RNAcentral.